This 305-nucleotide ribosomal RNA is filed under the name uncultured bacterium. Its description in RNAcentral is "bacterial SSU rRNA". It matches the Rfam family "Bacterial small subunit ribosomal RNA", at positions 333 to 654 of the family's 1533-position model. The record is from RNAcentral.
GGGAUCCUACGGGGCGCAGCAGUGGGGAAUAUUGCACAAUGGGGGAAACCCUGAUGCAGCGACGCCGCGUGAGCGAAGAAGUAUUUCGGUAUGUAAAGCUCUAUCAGCAGGGAAGAAAAAUGACGGUACCUGAGUAAGAAGCACCGGCUAAAUACGUGCCAGCAGCCGCGGUAAUACGUAUGGUGCAAGCGUUAUCCGGAUUUACUGGGUGUAAAGGGAGCGUAGACGGUGCGCCAAGUCUGGAGUGAAAUGCCGCAGCUUAACUGCGGAACUGCUUUGGAAACUGGCGAACUAGAGUGCGGGAG